UAACAUCUAUAGUACACCCAUACUGAAUAUUCCUUUCAUCCUCCAUACUAUGUGGGAAGCAGAAUGGACAGUGGCUGAAGGAUAUUGGAGUGGUGUAUCAGAUUCUUUGAGUAAUCAAGGGGAGUGACUGAAGUCAUAGGGCAGAGAAAGCACGGCUGCUUCUCUGACCCCUUUCUUUAUUUUCUGCACUUUGUGUUCUUGUGAGGAGCUAGUCUCCAUUUCUUUUAUAAGUUAAAAUCACCUCUUAUCAAAUUGGUAUCAACGAUUGUAAUCCUAGGGAGCCAUCAAAUAGGGAUAUCAUUAGGCUCCCACUCAAGAAAUGUCAGAAGUUCCAAUGAAGAGGAUAGAUGAAGU
This 354-nucleotide long non-coding RNA is filed under the name Trifolium pratense (red clover). RNAcentral's name for it is "long non-coding RNA (TPRA_LNC013372)". Lineage: Eukaryota; Viridiplantae; Streptophyta; Magnoliopsida; Fabales; Fabaceae. The record is from RNAcentral.